UACGGGGGGGGCAAGCGUUGUUCGGAAUUACUGGGCGUAAAGGGCUCGUAGGCGGCCAACUAAGUCAGACGUGAAAUCCCUCGGCUUAACCGGGGAACUGCAUCUGAUACUGGAUGGCUUGAGUUUGGGAGAGGGAUGCGGAAUUCCAGGUGUAGCGGUGAAAUGCGUAGAUAUCUGGAGGAACACCGGUGGCGAAGGCGGCAUCCUGGACUGGUACUGACGCUCAUGAGCGAAAGCGUGGGGAGCGAGCCGG
This 253-nucleotide ribosomal RNA is filed under the name uncultured bacterium. RNAcentral's name for it is "partial 16S ribosomal RNA". It matches the Rfam family "Bacterial small subunit ribosomal RNA", at positions 524 to 776 of the family's 1533-position model. The record is from RNAcentral.